This 69-nucleotide transfer RNA is filed under the name Calotes ceylonensis. RNAcentral describes it as "tRNA-Ile". Lineage: Eukaryota; Metazoa; Chordata; Lepidosauria; Squamata; Agamidae. The record is from RNAcentral.
GAAGUGUGCCCGAAUAAUAAGGACUAUUUUGAUAAAAUAGACACAGAGACCAAAAUCUCUCACUUCUUA